Molecule: ribosomal RNA, 253 nt
Filed under: uncultured bacterium
Lineage: Bacteria
Description: partial 16S ribosomal RNA
Rfam family: Bacterial small subunit ribosomal RNA
Source: RNAcentral
UACGUAGGAGGCGAGCGUUAUCCGGAGUUACUGGGCGUAAAGAGCGUGUAGGCGGGUAUGCAAGUCUGGCGUGAAAGGUCCCGGCUAAACUGAGAGAGUGCGCUGGAGACUGCGUGUCUAGAGGCAAGUAGAGGGACGUGGAAUUCCGGGUGUAGUGGUGAAAUGCGUAGAGAUCCGGAGGAACACCAGUGGCGAAGGCGACGUCCUGGGCUUGACCUGACGCUGAGACGCGACAGCACGGGGAGCGAACGGG